Pelobates fuscus (common spadefoot toad) is the source of this 188-nucleotide long non-coding RNA. RefSeq lists it as uncharacterized. The transcript has 3 exons. NCBI's taxonomy places the organism in Eukaryota, Metazoa, Chordata, Amphibia, Anura, Pelobatidae. The record is from RefSeq and is a predicted model, not a curated record.
AGGAGAUGGACAGGAUGAUGAAGAUGUUGUUACUCAUAACCCUGAUACAGCAGAUGGAUGGGUUGAUGUAGGUGUGGUUACUCAAAGCACUGAUACAGACCUACUGAUUCCUAUUAUUUCAUCUGUGAGUGCCCUAGUGGUACUUAUCUGUGUUCUGAUCAUAGCAUGCUGCAUCAUAAGGAAGCAUA